Molecule: ribosomal RNA, 420 nt
Filed under: uncultured bacterium
Lineage: Bacteria
Description: bacterial SSU rRNA
Rfam family: Bacterial small subunit ribosomal RNA
Source: RNAcentral
GGAAUAUUGCACAAUGGGCGCAAGCCUGAUGCAGCCAUGCCGCCUGUAUGAAGAAGGCCUUCGGGUUGUAAAGUACUUUCUGCGGGGAGGAAGGCGAUGUGGUUAAUAACCGCGUCGAUUGACGAUACCCGCAGAAGAAGAAACGGCUAACUCCGUGCCAGCAGCCGCGGUAAUACGGAGGGUGCAAGCGUUAAUCGGAAUUACUGGGCGUAAAGCGCACGCAGGCGGUCUGUCAAGUCGGAUGUGAAAUCCCCGGGCUUAACCUGGGAACUGCAUUCGAAACUGGCAGGCUAGAGUCUUGUAGAGGGGGGUAGAAUUCCAGGUGUAGCGGUGAAAUGCGUAGAGAUCUGGAGGAAUACCGGUGGCGAAGGCGGCCCCCUGGACAAAGACUGACGCUCAGGUGCGAAAGCGUGGGGAGCA